Non-coding RNA from Desmophyllum pertusum, 78 nucleotides. The record is from the annotation of a GenBank genome assembly. NCBI's taxonomy places the organism in Eukaryota, Metazoa, Cnidaria, Anthozoa, Scleractinia, Caryophylliidae.
GCUGGGAGACACGGCGGUAUAAUGGUUACUACCUUGGACUCCAGAUCGAGAUGGCCAGGUUCAAGCCCUGGCCUGGCA